Triticum aestivum (bread wheat) is the source of this 135-nucleotide non-coding RNA. The record is from Rfam. NCBI's taxonomy places the organism in Eukaryota, Viridiplantae, Streptophyta, Magnoliopsida, Poales, Poaceae.
GAAAUAUUCCCUCCGUCCGAAAAUACUUGUCAUCAAAAUGGACAAAAAGGGAUGUAUCUAGAACUAAAAUACGUCUAGAUACAUCCCUUUUUAUUCAUUUGGAUGACAAGUAUUUCCAGACGGAGGGAGUAUGUU